RNAcentral lists this transfer-messenger RNA (371 nucleotides) under human gut metagenome. It matches the Rfam family "transfer-messenger RNA". From Rfam's summary of the family: Bacterial tmRNA, also known as 10Sa RNA or SsrA, is named for its dual tRNA and mRNA-like properties. Its role is to liberate the mRNA from a stalled ribosome. The record is from RNAcentral.
GGGGCUGAUAAGGUUUCGACAGGGAUUUGCAGGGUAUAAAGAGCAGUCGACUGGUCUCGAUAACGACCACAAGCCUAUAAAUGGCAACAAUCAACGUUUAGCGUUCGCUGCUUAAUUAAAUUCAAGCUUUUUUCCCACGUUGGGAAGCGAACCAUCAAUAAAGGAACGGACCUCUUGGUCCUUAAUUGGUGUAAUUUAAAGAGGAUAAGAUUAUAUGAUGCUAAUAAAUAUAAUACGAAAAUCUUAUUAGCUAGUAAGAGUUAGAUUCGUUUAUUAAUCUUACCUCUUAUGAAAUUUAUUAGUAAACUAAACUGUAGGGCUUUAUAUGUGGCAAUCUUUGGACCGGGGUUCAAUUCCCCGCAACUCCACCA